This 348-nucleotide ribosomal RNA is filed under the name uncultured bacterium. RNAcentral describes it as "partial 16S ribosomal RNA". It matches the Rfam family "Bacterial small subunit ribosomal RNA", at positions 338 to 703 of the family's 1533-position model. The record is from RNAcentral.
CCUACGGGUGGCUGCAGUGGGGAAUAGUGGACAAUGGGGGGAACCCUGAUCCAGCGACGCCGCGUGAGUGAAGAAGUAUUUCGGUAUGUAAAGCUCUAUCAGCAGGGAAGAAAAUGACGGUACCUGACUAAGAAGCCCCGGCUAACUACGGGCCAGCAGCCGCGGUAAUACGUAGGGGGCAAGCGUUCUCCGGAUUUACUGGGGGUAAAGGGAGCGUAGACGGUGCCGCAAUUCUGAUGUGAAAGGUCGGGGCCCAACCACGGGACUGCAUUGGAAACUGUUGAACUGGAGUACAGGAGAGGUAAGCGGCCUUCCUAGUGUAGCGGUGACAUGCGUAGAUAUUAGGCG